This 433-nucleotide ribosomal RNA is filed under the name uncultured bacterium. RNAcentral's name for it is "partial 16S ribosomal RNA". It matches the Rfam family "Bacterial small subunit ribosomal RNA", at positions 29 to 507 of the family's 1533-position model. The record is from RNAcentral.
AACGAACGCUGGCGGCAUGCCUAACACAUGCAAGUCGAACGAGACCUUCGGGUCUAGUGGCGCACGGGUGCGUAACGCGUGGGAACCUGCCCUUAGGUUCGGAAUAACUCCCCGAAAGGGGUGCUAAUACCGGAUAAUGUCUUCGGACCAAAGAUUUAUCGCCUUUGGAUGGGCCCGCGUUGGAUUAGCUAGUUGGUAGGGUAAAAGCCUACCAAGGCGACGAUCCAUAGCUGGUCUGAGAGGAUGAUCAGCCACACUGGGACUGAGACACGGCCCAGACUACUACGGGAGGCAGCAGUGGGGAAUAUUGGACAAUGGGCGAAAGCCUGAUCCAGCAAUGCCGCGUGAGUGAUGAAGGCCGGAGGGUUGUAAAGCUCUUUUACCCGGGAUGAUAAUGACGGUACCGGGAGAAUAAGCUCCGGCUAACUCCGUG